Molecule: ribosomal RNA, 591 nt
Filed under: Lodderomyces parapsilosis
Lineage: Eukaryota; Fungi; Ascomycota; Pichiomycetes; Serinales; Debaryomycetaceae
Description: Candida parapsilosis partial large subunit ribosomal RNA
Rfam family: Eukaryotic large subunit ribosomal RNA
Source: RNAcentral
AAACCAACAGGGAUUGCCUUAGUAGCGGCGAGUGAAGCGGCAAAAGCUCAAAUUUGAAAUCUGGCACUUUCAGUGUCCGAGUUGUAAUUUGAAGAAGGUAUCUUUGGGUCUGGCUCUUGUCUAUGUUUCUUGGAACAGAACGUCACAGAGGGUGAGAAUCCCGUGCGAUGAGAUGUCCAGACCUAUGUAAAGUUCCUUCGAAGAGUCGAGUUGUUUGGGAAUGCAGCUCUAAGUGGGUGGUAAAUUCCAUCUAAAGCUAAAUAUUGGCGAGAGACCGAUAGCGAACAAGUACAGUGAUGGAAAGAUGAAAAGAACUUUGAAAAGAGAGUGAAAAAGUACGUGAAAUUGUUGAAAGGGAAGGGCUUGAGAUCAGACUUGGUAUUUUGUAUGUUACUCUCUCGGGGGUGGCCUCUACAGUUUACCGGGCCAGCAUCAGUUUGAGCGGUAGGAUAAGUGCAAAGAAAUGUGGCCUGCUUCGGUAGGUGUUAUAGUCUUUGUCGAUACUGCCAGCUUAGACUGAGGACUGCGGCUUCGGCCUAGGAUGUUGGCAUAAUGAUCUUAAGUCGCCCGUCUUGAAACACGGACCAUGCA